RNAcentral lists this ribosomal RNA (433 nucleotides) under uncultured bacterium. RNAcentral describes it as "partial 16S ribosomal RNA". It matches the Rfam family "Bacterial small subunit ribosomal RNA", at positions 29 to 507 of the family's 1533-position model. The record is from RNAcentral.
AACGAACGCUGGCGGCAUGCCUAACACAUGCAAGUCGAACGAGACCUUCGGGUCUAGUGGCGCACGGGUGCGUAACGCGUGGGAACCUGCCCUUAGGUUCGGAAUAACUUCCCGAAAGGGGUGCUAAUACCGGAUAAUGUCUUCGGACCAAAGAUUUAUCGCCUUUGGAUGGGCCCGCGUUGGAUUAGCUAGUUGGUAGGGUAAAAGCCUACCAAGGCGACGAUCCAUAGCUGGUCUGAGAGGAUGAUCAGCCACACUGGGACUGAGACACGGCCCAGACUCCUACGGGAGGCAGCAGUGGGGAAUAUUGGACAAUGGGCGAAAGCCUGAUCCAGCAAUGCCGCGUGAGUGAUGAAGGCCUUAGGGUUGUAAAGCUCUUUUACCCGGGAUGAUAAUGACAGUACCGGGAGAAUAAGCUCCGGCUAACUCCGUG